UCACAAUGGUUUGGUCCACUGCCUCCCAUCCCCCCAGCCCUCAGCAGUGGCACAUGAUGCAGUUACAGCGCAUAUGUGGGAAUCUGACAGUCUGUCAUUGGUGGCUGACCUCCAUUGAGCAGCAGUGGUCCUAUGGCUAUUUAUGAGACAUUGAAGAACAUCGACACAUUGUUUAGAGCUGACGACCUGCCUACUACGUGGGACCAACAGAAGUUGGAGAAUUUUCAGAAUAUUGUAUACCACCAGAUUGAAAAGAGCAAAUGUAGUGGACACGUUCCAGCUCUGUGUCUAAAGGAAAAGUCGAGCGCAUGUUUCCACAGCAUGUUUACAAGAACACACAGG
Molecule: long non-coding RNA, 342 nt
Organism: Oncorhynchus kisutch (coho salmon)
Lineage: Eukaryota; Metazoa; Chordata; Actinopteri; Salmoniformes; Salmonidae
Exons: 3
Source: RefSeq, a predicted model, not a curated record